AUUGACAAGUGAUGAUAAACAUAUGCAAUACUGAAGAAAUUUAUCGUGUUGAUAAAACUCCGCUUAUUAUCUGAUGUCAGG
Molecule: small nucleolar RNA, 81 nt
Filed under: Zostera marina
Lineage: Eukaryota; Viridiplantae; Streptophyta; Magnoliopsida; Alismatales; Zosteraceae
Description: Small nucleolar RNA R16
Rfam family: Small nucleolar RNA R16
About the family: snoR16 is a member of the C/D class of snoRNA which contain the C (UGAUGA) and D (CUGA) box motifs. Most of the members of the box C/D family function in directing site-specific 2'-O-methylation of substrate RNAs.
Source: Rfam by way of RNAcentral